Long non-coding RNA from Lagopus muta (rock ptarmigan), 1317 nucleotides. RefSeq lists it as uncharacterized. NCBI's taxonomy places the organism in Eukaryota, Metazoa, Chordata, Aves, Galliformes, Phasianidae. The transcript has 3 exons. The record is from RefSeq and is a predicted model, not a curated record.
CCCCGGCCCGGCAGAGCGUCACGGCCCGCCCGGCACCGCGCUCGGCACCGCCCAUGGCAACGGCUGCCCGCCGACGGGACGCACGGCACUCCGGAAAGGUUCCCAAGGGAGGUUAAUCACGUUGCCAUGUGAGCUAUGAGCACAUGAGCCACUACAGAAAGCUGCAGUGCCUGAACAUCCAGGACAGCCAAUGCAACACAUGGGCACUGAACACCACCACGUCUUUUAAACUGAGAAAGGAGCGCCCCGGUUACUCGGGGUUCCGCCUGUCUGGGAAGUGCACGGGAGCACCGCUCGGAACAACAGGCGUCACGUUGCUGUGAGUAAACGCGUAUAGCGGUGAAGGAAUAGAUCCUAUGCAGGUGGGGUGGCGCUCCUGAUCCCCAUCCUACCGACAGACGUUUCAGCUCCCCCGGUGCGCCUCUUCCAGGUACCGCAAGGUGUGCCGAGGGGCCACCGAGCAGCGGGUCGGACCUUGCUGUCGCCGCAGUACUGGAGAGCAAAGCAGCAGGGCGCACGGAGAUCCCCAUCUCGGGGUUACGUGGGUGUUAGCCCGAAAGGAGCCUUCUGCACCAGUAGCAGCAAGGCUAAAAUAGUUUUGGUGCCCGGUUCUUUUGGUAUACAGAACUACACGUAAGCAGAUUUAUUUAAAGCCUUACUUCCGUACCUAUUUUAGGAUGUCUGUUAUUACAGUGGAGCCAGUUGCUUGUAAGUAGCAUGGAUACUGCUCUCUACAGUGUCCUCCUCCUCUUCCCACCGGAGUAUAGACUCUUUCUCCCUUAUUCACCAGUAGCUCAGCUAGAAUUUAAGUUGUGUUAGGCUGUAAUUGGGCAUUAAGAGGUAUUAAGGACUAUAUUUUUCUUCUGUACUUCACAUAGAACUCCCUGUUCUCAGAGCAGAUCUCUGCCAUGCCCAUGCCAGCUUCCAGUGCACCCCGAGAAAGGAAAACAGGUUUUUCUGCUUUAACCCUGGAGAGAGCUGGAGGCCCAUCACGUGUAUUACAACGCUCCAGUUCUAUUUAGCACAUUUUACAGUGCCCCAUUUUGCAGCGUAGCUGUGACAGCUGAUUAUUCCAUUUCCUUUUCGUUUGGAAACACAAGUUGAUCUACAUCCUCUCAAGAAGUUCCUCUUGGACCUGACUUUGCUCUGUGACACCAUUCCUGCCAAACAACAGUUCUCACUUCAGCCCAUUCUCUUCCUUUAUCAGCAAGAGGCUUGGCCCUGUUCUAGUACCUUCAUCCUCUUCUCUUUGUAAUCCCGUGCAAUUCCUACUCAGGCUCCCCCCUAGGUAAGCUACAGCCUCAUGGUUGCUGGGGG